AUCGUCGAAAGAAGAAAUUGCCCCACUCCACUGAAGUUCAUCCGACGACUCUAAAACGACAUGGCCAUCCACAAACGAGACCCGCGUCUCCGUUCCCGUUUGGCCGGAUCUUUCAGGCAGUAUCCAACAAAGGAGGCCCAAGCAGGGUUGUACCAGGCUGCGCUGAUAUCUACCUGCAACAAAAGUGAGACUGGAGUCCACCGACCGGAGAAAUCAACUGGGACGGGAUGUACCUUCAUUGUAUAAUGAACGUCUUGCGUGCGGAUUCUUUUCCACUGCGGCCAUCGUACUCUUAUCCAGAACCAAAUACAGAACGAUGAUGGUUGUAAGCUCGACAGCCGUUUGAAGCCCGCUACCGGUGCAGACAAGGGGCGAUACAAAAAAAAUAGAUGGAUAUUGCAGCAAAGAAACAUUCUUGUGUGCGUCCUUCGUCCCACGACGCUUCAAUUGGCAAUAUCUAAUACCAGUGAUGUAUUGAUGAUCAACGUUGCCAAGCGCUCGAAGCUCUCAAUACACUCAGCCGACUACGGUUUUCCAGACAUGAGCAUCGUAUUUAAUUCGAGUAUUUUUCACUGCAAGUAUCUUCACUACUCUACGUAUUGGCCAUUCGUCCGUUUACCAACUAAAGCAACUCAACAGGACCUUAUAGAGCGGAAGACUCGUGUUGCAUAAAAUUAACGUUAUUUAUAGGACAAACAUAUCUUGCAGCACUGUGUAGGACAGGGUGACGAUGUGUUGAGUGGUCUCCGCGGCGCUCGUGAUAGACCCACCCAAAUCGCUACAAGCACCGAGUCAUGCUGCUCAUCAGAUCGUAACUGUUAGUAUCCAAACAGUCAAGGGGAAAUUUGCAGACUGUGAACUCUAUCGGCAUUUUGGCCGUUCACACAGUACUCAAUUACUAAAAUAAAGUCUGUAAUAAUUGUAAAAAUCUGUUAUCUGCAUAUGAUGAUUUUCUUUUAAGCAGACUAGUUUUUGCCCGAAACGGCACAGCAAGUCGUCAGUGACAUAAAUCCAAUACCCCACAGUCUUGAUUCAAUAGGCUAUUGUGUAUAGAAAAAAAGAGCAUUAGCCCGCAUUGAGCGCACUGAUUAUGUGGAUACAGAAUACAGCCCCGUUAGCGGUUCAACCUGCACACAUAGACGCGAAAGCGCCCUGUUUUCUUCAACGUUAAU
Molecule: long non-coding RNA, 1172 nt
Organism: Varroa destructor (honeybee mite)
Lineage: Eukaryota; Metazoa; Arthropoda; Arachnida; Mesostigmata; Varroidae
Source: RefSeq, a predicted model, not a curated record